This 2566-nucleotide small RNA is filed under the name Pongo abelii (Sumatran orangutan). Its description in RNAcentral is "retained intron". The record is from RNAcentral. Lineage: Eukaryota; Metazoa; Chordata; Mammalia; Primates; Hominidae.
CAGCCUAGCGCGCGGAACGGCUGGGGCCGGGGCGCGGAUGCUGGAAGUUCACAUCCCGUCGGUGGGGCCCGAGGCCGAGGGGCCCAGGCAGAGCCCGGAGAAAAGCCACAUGGUGUUCCGAGUGGAGGUGCUGUGCAGCGGGCGCAGACACACGGUGCCGAGGCGCUACAGCGAGUUCCACGCCCUGCACAAGCGGGUGAGGCGGCGCCGACCUCCCACCGGCCCCGGCCCAGCCUCUGUCCAGCCCCUGCCCAGUCCCUGUGAGGCGGGCGGGCGAGCUCCAGCCCCAGCCUCCGCCAUCCCCAUUACUGCCUCAGUCCCUGCGCGGCCGGUCAGCCCCCGAGCCUCUGUGGGUGGGUUGGGGCCUUCCUCGCCCUCGGCCGGUCCACCACUCACCAGGGUCUUACCCAGGGUAGAGCCCGAAGGCGGGGGCGCGGGAGGGCUUCUGGCUCAGGCGAAGAGGGCUUGAGGGCUCAGUCGGGAUGCUGUGAUCGCACGCGGUAAACCUCCAGUAGAUCAAGAAGCUGUACAAAGUGCCCGACUUCCCCUCGAAACGCCUGCCCAACUGGAGGACCAGAGGGUUGGAACAGCGCCGGCAGGGCUUGGAGGCCUACAUCCAGGUAUGAGAGAGCACAGUUGGUUGCCCCCCAGCCUGCUGUGCCAGGGGUGUGGCCCAGACAGAGAGGUGUGGGGGCACGGCAGGGAGGGAACCCACAACUUGGGGAUGUUAUUCACCACCUCAAGCAUCAAUUUUCUGAGAGUAAUAUAGGUCAAUGCUCUGCUGUCAUUGUCGUGAAAUUCUUUUUUUGGAACAAAGAGCCCUGCAUUUUCAUUGGCACUGCGCUAUGCAAAUUAGUAGCUGGGUCUGAUUGCAGGUCUCCUCUGUCCUCUUCAGGGCAUCCUGUACCUGAACCAGGAGGUGCCCAAGGAGUUACUGGAAUUCCUGAGACUUCGGCACUUCCCCACAGACCCCAAGGCUAGCAACUGGGGGUAAGGGGGGCCGGUGGCGGGGGCCUGGGGCUGUCAGCAGUGAGCAGGUGAGGAAAGGUGUGGGAGGGCAGCCCUUUCUUCUCACAUCUGCCAGGAUCCAGCAUGAGCGCCCUCACAAGCUCUCUUGACCUGGGUGGAGGGGCUUUUUUUUGGACAGACUUGGUUACCCCCGCCAACUCCGGAACUGGGGUUUGUUACAAAUAGAAGCAGUGGUCCCCUGGGAGGUGCACUUCUGGGCUCUUGUGUCUCCACCCCUUCCUGACGCUCCUCGGCAUCCCCAGGCAGCUUACAGUGUUUCUCUUCUCUUCAGCACCCUGGGGGAGUUCCUGCCUGGCGACAGCAGGCAAGUCAAAGCCCUAGCCCGCGCCUGGCCCCUGCCGCCCCCUAGUGGUCAUAUGCUAGGAGGCGGGCCUGCUGCCUGGGCCUGUCUGGCCUGGGCCCUGAAGUCUUUCCCUUUGGUGCCUCCUGCGCCCAUUUCCCACUCACCUUUUCCUUCAUGGGUCCCUGGUGAUCUCAACCCCGUCUCCACCCCUCUGUGGGAUUCUGCCCUGCCUCCUGCACCCAUGGUUCAUGAUCCUCUUUCCUCCCAGCUCCCAGCAGCACCAGCGGCCUGUCCUGAGCUUCCAUGUGGAUCCCUAUGUUUGCAACCCCUCCCCAGGUGAGGAGGUGCCUAGAUACGGGGCUACAGGGCUGGGUUGUGGGCUUUGCAUUUCUCAGCUCCUGGGACCCUCAGGCAGCAUCUCCUUCCUGCUGCCCACCUCUGGAGCCACUACCUCCUUGCUCCUGUGCCCUGGAGCCUGCUUUGUAGACACAAGGAAAACAAGUUUGGCUUCCCUGGUCUCCAUUUCCUCAGCAGCCUGACUUCUUUACCAAGCUGAUGUGAACAGAAUGUGACCUGGGAAUGCAGAGGCUUCAUUUGGGGUGGACAGCUGCUGUCUGCUGCCUUGGCAGGGGCUCCUACUCCUAAGUGGGGGCUGAGCCCAUGAGCAGGAGCUCAAGGAGCUGCAGGCCUGAGACCAGACCCGUUUAAUUCUAUCCCACAGAGUCGCUGCCCAACGUGGUGGUGAAUGGUGUGCUCCAGGGCCUCUACAGCUUCAGCAUCAGCCCAGAUAAAGCCCAGCCAGAGGCGGCCUGUCACCCUGCUCCUCUGCCACCGAUGCCCUGAUCAGUCCAGAGGCCUUUAGCUGCCUCCUAAGAAAGUCAUGUGCCUCUGUCCUAUGAGCUCCAUAUAAGGCUAGGUCCUCCUUUGGCCUGGACCCAGGACUUAACUACCCAGUGCCCAGUUGUGCCACAUUCCCACUCAAGGCUCAGAACUUGGCUCGCAUUGGUAGCUGGAGGUGGUAGAAUCUGCACGCUCUUAGAGCCCAACAGCCAAGGCAGGGUCAAGAAGAUAAGUAAUAAAGGAAGAAGUCAGCCAGGUGCGGUGGCUCACGCCUGUAAUCCCAGCACUUUGGGAGGCCAGGGUGGGUGGAUCACCUGAGGUCAGGAGUUCAAGACCAGCCUCACCACCAUGGAGAAACCCCGUCUCUACUAAAAAUACAAAAUUAGCCGGGCAUCGUGGUGGUGCAUGCCUGUA